Long non-coding RNA from Bombyx mori (domestic silkworm), 281 nucleotides. RefSeq lists it as uncharacterized. Lineage: Eukaryota; Metazoa; Arthropoda; Insecta; Lepidoptera; Bombycidae. The record is from RefSeq and is a predicted model, not a curated record. The transcript has 2 exons.
UGGAUUUUCAACUGUUAUCGUAACCGUAGCAAAAUAAAUUACACAAAAAGAAUUUGAAAUGUACAUAUUUACAGUAGAGAACUUGUGCUACCUAAGAUACAAUACUUUAUAAGAAUUAAAUUCCAUAAGAAGUGUUAGUAAUACGAAAAAAAGUACAUUUUAUUUAUUUUACAUUGACCAUGGCUGGUCUUGAGCCCACAUGGACUUCAUUCCAGUGCCUCAGUAUAGGGCAGCAAUAGCGACUCUCUAUGGCGGCCAUAAAUAACGUGAGCUACAAUAAA